This is a long non-coding RNA of Hyla sarda, 3747 nucleotides long. RefSeq lists it as uncharacterized. Lineage: Eukaryota; Metazoa; Chordata; Amphibia; Anura; Hylidae. The transcript is spliced from 5 exons. The record is from RefSeq and is a predicted model, not a curated record.
ACAGGUGACUGAUGUCCAGCGAGAAGGUGAACGUGACAUAUACGCCCGUCAGCUGCAAGAAAGGAACCACAAGACAGAACCUUUGCUUCUUGGUUAAACUGUGUCUCCUCUGUGCAGUUUCUGCAAAGACGUAAAAACUGACUCCUGGGGAUAUUCUUUAACCAAAUGGGCCUAAAGCUAAGCUGACAUUUCCUAUUCUGUCUGUGGUGAUAAGGAGGAGGCUGCUGGAAAGUGAUCUGUACAGCAUUACAGUGAAAGGGUAUUGGUGGACUAUUUAUGAGCUCGGAUUCCAGGCAGGGAUCUGCUCAUUCUCCUUCAACAUCAACAAGGCAUUUUCGUCCACACAAGUGUCGCUAACUGGAUAUUUUCUCUGUAAACCCUAGAGACGGUUGUGUGUGAAAAUCCCAGUAGAUCAGCAGUUCCUGAAAUACUCAGACCAGCCUGUCUUGCACCAACAACCAUUACACAUUAAACAUUACUUAAAUACCCUUUGUUCCCCUUUUUUUUUUUUACUUGAGCAAGUUGUCUGGACAACAUGUACAUGCCAAAAUGCAUUGAGUUGCUGCCAUGUGAUUAUCUGAUUACCUAUUAGUGUUAACAAGCAAUUGAACAGGUGUAACUAAUAAAUGGACAGUGGGGGAGAUUUAUCAAAACUUGUGUAGAGGAAGAAGAGUGGUGAAGUAAAUUCAAAUGGAUUUCUUGGCAUUUCCACUGAAAGGUGUGUUAUGUACAAACGUGACCAUAUACAACUUGGGCAAAUGUACAAAGAUCACAGAGAAGCCCAACUUACAAUGUCAUAAUAAUGUCUAAUAAUUAAUGCGGCACAAAUAUUACUGCUACAAUGUGUCAUAUGUCGUAUUUUAAGAAAAUAAUAAAAAGGAAAAAGAAAAUGAAGAAGAUAAACAAAAACACCUGCACAAACAUCAUUACCAAAAACCACAUUUAAUAUGUUCUUAGCAACCUAAUAAAAUAAAAUACAACCAUCUGACAAAUUUUGGCUCAGAAAAGACUGCUGAUCUCAAACAGUGUCACAGUUAAAUGCAGAGUCAAAGUUGUAGCAUUUUUUUUUUUUUUUUUUUUUAAACCUCCUGUAAAUAUUUUUCCAUCAAAAAGCCACUUAAAAAGGUAUGGCCGCCAGUUUUUUUUUUGGUUUAUUUAUUUUAUUUUUUAACUCCACCACAAAUACUUUUAAAAAUAUAACAGAUUUGCAACUGGUCUUAAUCCUUAAUGUAACAUUUUCUAACAUUUGUCUUCUGCAGCUUGCAUAUUUUAAAAUACAGUACAAGCUGCUGAGUGCCGUAUAGUGCUCUGUUUUGUUUAUUAAAUUAUUUUUUAGGUUUUAUCUUUAAUAGCAUUCAGGAGUGAAAGCGGAUGGCUGCACAUGGCAGAAUUUGUGCGGACAUUCCACGCGUUUGCCCAAUACGGCGGCGCUGAUACCGAUCGGAAAUGUGCCAUUUCCUUGCGAUGUCCACAGAAAGAAUAGACAUGACUAUUCAUUCUGCAGAUGCCGGAAUUUGAAUUUCAGCGGCAGAAACAUCUGGCGCGUAAAUUCGGCAGUGUGAACAGUGCAAUCAAUGGGACUCUGUUGCAGCACAAUAUCCGGCGCAGAAUAUUCUAUGCAAAUUCCGCAGUGUAAAUUAAAAACAAUUGCACAUGUUUUAUUUAUGAAAGUACAUAUAGUCAUGGCCGUAAAUGUUGGCACCCCUGAAAUUUUUCAAGAAAAUUAAGUAUUUCUCACAGAAAAGCAUUGCAGUAACAAAAGUAUUUGCUAUACACAUGUUUAUACACAUGUAUUUGUGUGUAUCGGAACUAAACCAAAAAAGGGAGGAAAAAAAGCUAAUUGGACAUAAUGUCACACCAAACUCCAAAAAUGGGCUGGACAAAAUUAUUGGCACCCUUUCAAAAUUGUGGUUAAUAAGAUUGUUUCAAGCAUGUGAUGCGCCUUUGAACUCACCUGGGGCAAGUAACAGGUGUGGGCAAUAGAAAAAUCACACCUCAAAGCAGAUAAAAAGGAGAGAAGUUCCCUUACUCUUUGCAUUGUGUGUCUGUGUGUGCCACACUAAGCAUGGGCAACAGAAAGAUUAGAAGAGAAUUGUCUGAUGACCCGAGAACCAAAAUUGUGGAAAAAUAUCAUCAAUCUCAAGAUUACAAGUCCACUCCAGAGAUCUAGAUUUGCCUUUGUCCACAGUGUGCAACAUUAUCAAGAAGUUUGCAACCUAUGGCAAUGUAGCUAAUCUCCCUGGGCGUGGACGGAAGAGAAAAAUUGAUGAAUGGUGUUGACGCUGGUUAGUCCAGUUGGUGGAUAAGCAGCCCCAAACAAGUUCCAAAGAUAUUCAAGCUGUCCUGCAGGCUCAGGGAGCAUCAGUGUCAGCGUGAACUAUCCGUCGACAUUUAAAUGAAAUGAAACACUAUGGCAGGAGACCCAGGAGGACCCCACUGCUGACACAGAGACAUAAAAAAGCAAGACUACAUUUUGCCAAAAUGAACUUGAGUAAGCAAAAAUCCUUCUGGGAAAAUGUCUUGUGGACAGAUGAGACCAAGAUAGAGCUUUUUGGUAAAGCACAUAAUUCUACUGUUUACUGAAAACAGAAUGGGGUCUACAAAGAAAAGAGCACAGUACCUACAGUGAAAUAUGGUGGAGGUUCAAUGAUGUUUUGGGGUUGUUUUUCUGCCUCUGGCACUGGGUGCCUUGAAUGUGUACAAGGCAUCAUGAAAUCUGAGGAUUACCAAUGGAUUUUGGGUCAGACUGUACAGCCCAGUGUCAGAAAGCUGGGUUGGUGUCAGAGAUCUUGGGUCUUCCAGCAGGACAAUGACCCCAAACAUACGUAUAAAAGCACCCAGAAAUAGAUGACAACAAAGCGCUGGAGAGUUCUGAAGUGGCCAGCAAUGAGUCCAGAUCUAAAUCCCAUUGAACACCUGUGGAGAGAUCUUAAAAUUGCUGUUGGGAAAAGGCGCCCCUCCAAUAAGAGAGACCUGGAGCAGUUUGCGGAGGAAGAGGGGUCCAACAUUCCGGCUGAGAGGUGUAAGAAGCUUAUUGAUGGUUAUAGGAAGCGACUGAAUAAGGGAAUAAACAUGUAUAGCAAAACACGUGUUACUGCAAUCAUUUUCUGUGAGAAAUACUUCAUUUUCUUGAAAAAUUUCAGGGGUGCCAACAUUUACGGCCAUGACUGUACAAUACAAUAAAAAAAUGUUCUAAGAAGUCCAAACCUUUAAGUUUAUUGGUGUUGCAAAUGAAUAAUACAGGUGUAUAGUAUAUGUAAACUUUACGUGGCCUAUGUCUCACCGAAUAGACUGUCUUUAACGGAUAAAGAGAUUUCAAAAAGCAAAAAAAAAGCAUUACUAAUCUGCACAGGUACUUAGAAUUCCUAUGAUAUUAGCUCUUUAUAUAACUUGUGUUGAGAGCUGCACAGUAUAUCAAUUUUCAUUUUAUAUAUGUUGUUCUUUUGUUUACCUACAUCAAUGUUUUCCAAACACUGUGUCUCCAGCUGUUGCAAAACUACAACUCCCAGCAUGCCCGGACAGCCAAAGGCUGGGAGUUGUAGUUUUGCAACAGCUGGAGACAUACUGUUUGGAAUUCAUUAGCCUAAACCAUUAAAAGGGAACAAGGGUUCUGCUAAGCCCUUGAUUUUUAACCCCUGUCUUCCAUGGCAGGCCUACCCAAGACCACUCCUACAAUUUGAGGUUAUAAUCUUUUUUCUGUAUCAUUAGGGUAUGCACCUUUAUACUUUGAACUUUAUUAUUAUUACU